RNAcentral lists this ribosomal RNA (427 nucleotides) under uncultured bacterium. Its description in RNAcentral is "bacterial SSU rRNA". It matches the Rfam family "Bacterial small subunit ribosomal RNA", at positions 355 to 774 of the family's 1533-position model. The record is from RNAcentral.
UGGGGAAUUUUGGACAAUGGACGCAAGUCUGAUCCAGCCAUGCCGCGUGCGGGAAGAAGGCCUUCGGGUUGUAAACCGCUUUUGUCAGGGAAGAAACGAGUUUCUCUAAUACAGAGACUUAAUGACGGUACCUGAAGAAUAAGCACCGGCUAACUACGUGCCAGCAGCCGCGGUAAUACGUAGGGUGCAAGCGUUAAUCGGAAUUACUGGGCGUAGAGCGUGCGCAGGCGGUUAUAUAAGACAGAUGUGAAAUCCCCGGGCUCAACCUGGGAACUGCAUUUGUGACUGUAUAGCUAGAGUACGGCAGAGGGGGAUGGAAUUCCGCGUGUAGCAGUGAAAUGCGUAGAUAUGCGGAGGAACACCGAUGGCGAAGGCAAUCCCCUGGACCUGUACUGACGCUCAUGCACGAAAGCGUGGGGAGCAAACA